CCCCUCUCAGGGUCGCACCUGGAGAGUUUCCAGUACUUCUACCAGUCUUGGCUACAGGAGGGAGAGUCAAGCAGAGGCCUGUUCAUUCCAUUCCUAGCUUGGGCAGAGGCUAGUGAGUGGAAGGCAAUCUCCUAUAUGU
RNAcentral lists this small nucleolar RNA (139 nucleotides) under Ornithorhynchus anatinus (platypus). Lineage: Eukaryota; Metazoa; Chordata; Mammalia; Monotremata; Ornithorhynchidae. The record is from RNAcentral.